This 433-nucleotide ribosomal RNA is filed under the name uncultured bacterium. Its description in RNAcentral is "partial 16S ribosomal RNA". It matches the Rfam family "Bacterial small subunit ribosomal RNA", at positions 29 to 507 of the family's 1533-position model. The record is from RNAcentral.
AACGAACGCUGGCGGCAUGCCUAACACAUGCAAGUCGAACGAGACCUUCGGGUCUAGUGGCGCACGGGUUCGUAACGCGUGGGAACCUGCCCUUAGGUUCGGAAUAACUCCCCGAAAGGGGUGCUAAUACCGGAUAAUGUCUUCGGACCAAAGAUUUAUCGCCUUUGGAUGGGCCCGCGUUGGAUUAGCUAGUUGGUAGGGUAAAAGCCUACCAAGGCGACGAUCCAUAGCUGGUCUGAGAGGAUGAUCAGCCACACUGGGACUGAGACACGGCCCAGACUCCUACGGGAGGCAGCAGUGGGGAAUAUUGGACAAUGGGCGAAAGCAUGAUCCAGCAAUGCCGCGUGAGUGAUGAAGGCCUUAGGGUUGUAAAGCUCUUUUACCCGGGAUGAUAAUGACAGUACCGGGAGAAUAAGCUCCGGCUAACUCCGUG